UUAACGCUGGCGGCGUGCCUAAUACAUGCAAGUCGAAUGGUAGUAGCAAUACAAACCAUGGCGAACGGGUGAGUAACACGUAGGCAACCUGACUUUAAGACGAGGAUAACCGUUGGAAACGACGGAUAAUACUGGAUAGGACAUCAGAAAGGGCAUCCUUAGAUGUUAAAGGUUAUUAUGCCACUUAGAGAGGGGCCUGCGGCGCAUUAGCUAGUUGGUGAGAUAACAGCCCACCAAGGCGAUGAUGCGUAGCCGGACUGAGAGGUUGAACGGCCACAAUGGAACUGAGAACGGUCCAUACUCCUACGGGAGGCAGCAGUAGGGAAUUUUCGGCAAUGGGCGCAAGCCUGACCGAGCAACGCCGCGUGAACGAAGAAGUUAUUCGUAAUGUAAAGUUCUUUUAUCUGGGAAAGAAAAAACAAAUUGACGGUACCAGAUGAAUAAGCUCCGGCUAACUACGUGCCAGCAGCCGC
Molecule: ribosomal RNA, 473 nt
Filed under: uncultured bacterium
Lineage: Bacteria
Description: bacterial SSU rRNA
Rfam family: Bacterial small subunit ribosomal RNA
Source: RNAcentral